Molecule: long non-coding RNA, 231 nt
Filed under: Vicia faba (fava bean)
Lineage: Eukaryota; Viridiplantae; Streptophyta; Magnoliopsida; Fabales; Fabaceae
Source: RNAcentral
AUGAUCUCACGGCGAAGCCUUAGGGGAAAUGAUCGGGGAGGUUUGCUUUAUGCAGUGGUAUCAAGAUAUUGGAGAAACGAAAAAGUUUUCACAUACCUCCCGACGGCGAUAGAGACGGAGGUGUGCUAUAAUGAAGGUUUCAACGUUCAGGUAUCUCGUCUUGUCUUCAACUCGUAUUCUUCUUCUCGCUCAAUUCUGAAUUCUCGUCUUCUUCCACUUCCGCUGGCUUGA